CCUGGGAAUGGGAAAACGAUACUUCACCGUGAUCCUAUUGAUAGCGCGACUAUCCACACACAUUCUCCAAGAUCCAUCCUUUUUGGGCGUCAAUAGGGCGGGGACAGCACAUGGGCUUAAACUCUCACGAAUGAAUCCUUUGUUGAGAAGGUCAUCCACUUGCCUUUGGAGCUCAGCGUGCUCGGUAGGAUUCAUCCUAUAAUGUGGCAAAUUUGGAAGGGAUGCGCCGGGGACGAAAUCUAUGGCAUGUUGAAUAUCUCUUAGCGGAGGUAGAUGAUCAGGUAGGUCCUCCGGAAAGACAUCUCGAAACUCCUGAAGGAUCGAUUGGACUUCCGCAGUAUCCUCACUUGUGGAGUUAGAUGAAACCUCCAUGACUACUAAGGCAAACACAAUUGAGUCACCAACAAUUGUACGCUCAAACUCUGUAGGACUAAUGAUAUGCAACCCCUUUUGUUCCACACUUUUCUUCGCUUCUAGUGAGCCAGCCGGCUUUGGGGGUGGUGGGUUAAGGUAAAUCUUCUUUCCAUUAAACACGAAGGAGCAGGAAUUGGAUCGACCAUAUAUGGUUACAUCUAGGUCAAAUAGCCAAGGUCGUCCUAAGAUGAUGUGCCCGACGUCCAUCGAAAUAACGUCACACCAUAUAUGGUCCUUAUACUCCAGGAACUGGAUAGGGACUAAACAACGCUCCUUAACAGCUAUAGAGGAGGUGUCAACCCAAGAGACACUAUAAGGUUGGGGGUGAGGAACUGGCUUCAACCCUAGACGGGAUAUAGUAGCCUUCGAAACCGCAUUAAUACAGCUGCCACUAUCCACGAUAACUUUACAGCCCUUGUUAUUAAUCUUGAUGUAGGUGUGGAAGAUGGCAUGACGGCGCCAAUCGUCGGCAUCCUUAGGCUGGGUGAGGGUGCAACGGACGACACCGACUCUGGGUGUAUGUGGGAUAAUGGGACUAGCCUGAAUACAACCUAAGAAGGUAUCCUCACUGUCCUCCAAGUCUUCAAAC
Molecule: long non-coding RNA, 1003 nt
Filed under: Olea europaea subsp. europaea
Lineage: Eukaryota; Viridiplantae; Streptophyta; Magnoliopsida; Lamiales; Oleaceae
Source: RNAcentral